This 510-nucleotide ribosomal RNA is filed under the name Arcyria cinerea. RNAcentral describes it as "bacterial SSU rRNA". It matches the Rfam family "Eukaryotic small subunit ribosomal RNA", at positions 113 to 563 of the family's 1831-position model. Lineage: Eukaryota; Evosea; Eumycetozoa; Trichiida; Trichiidae. The record is from RNAcentral.
UCGUUCAUGCCUGGCCUAAUGAGGUGGUCCUUAACGGAUAUGGCUCGGUAAUUCUGUCAGUAAUACGUAUCAUGGCUGCACAGCCACGCCCCAAUGCACUAGGCAGGCCCUACCAUGCAGUAGGUUAAGGUUCUUCAACCGCUCCUGGUAUGUUGGGGGGGUGUCACCGGUUGACCAACCUCGCUGCAUACAGCGACUUGGGAAUAACAGUGACCGUACUAGACCCUCUGCGGAGGGCGUCGGCAAUGGACUUCAGACCUAUCAACUAGACGUCUGGGUAGCGACCAGUCGUGGUGAUAACGGGUACAGAGGAUCAGGGUUCGGUCCUGGAGAGGUAGCCUGAGAGAUCGCUACUACUUCUAAGGAAGGCAGCAGGCGCGCAACGUUCCCAAUGGGGGCUUAAGCCCUGAGGACGUAAAGGAACAUAACAAUGCCUUGUCAUAUAGACGGGGUAAUUGUAAUGGGGAAAUUUUAAACCCCCCACCGAGUAACAAUUAGAGGACAAGUCUG